CCUACGGGGGGCAGCAGUGAGGAAUAUUGGUCAAUGGACGAGAGUCUGAACCAGCCAAGUAGCGUGAAGGAUGACUGCCCUAUGGUUUGUAAACUUCUUUUAUAAAGGAAUAAAACGAGGCACGUAUUCCUUUUUGCAUUUACUUUAUGAAUAAGGGUCGGCUAACUCCGUACCAUCAGCCGCGGUAAUACGGAGGAGCCGAGCGUUAUCCGGAUUUGUUGGGUUUAAAGGGAGCGUAGAUGGGUUGUUAAGUCAGUUGUGAAAGUUUGCGGCUCAACCGGAAAAUUGCAAUUGAUACUGGCAGUCUUGAGUACAGUUGAGGAAGGCGGAAUUCGUGGUGUAGCGGUGAAAUGCUUAGAUAUCACGAAGAACACCGAUUGCGAAGGCAGCUUACUAAACUGUGACUGACAUUGAUGCUCGAAAGUGUGGGUAUCAAACAGGAUUAGAUACCCCGGUAGUC
RNAcentral lists this ribosomal RNA (460 nucleotides) under uncultured bacterium. RNAcentral describes it as "partial 16S ribosomal RNA". It matches the Rfam family "Bacterial small subunit ribosomal RNA", at positions 338 to 795 of the family's 1533-position model. The record is from RNAcentral.